UGGGGAAUAUUGCACAAUGGGCGCAAGCCUGAUGCAGCGACGCCGCGUGGGGGAUGACGGCCUUCGGGUUGUAAACUCCUUUCGCCAGGGACGAAGCGUUUUGUGACGGUACCUGGAGAAGAAGCACCGGCUAACUACGUGCCGGCAGCCGCGGUAAUACGUAGGGUGCAAGCGUUGUCCGGAAUUACUGGGCGUAAAGAGCUCGUAGGUGGUUUGUCACGUCGUCUGUGAAAUUCCACAGCUUAACUGUGGGCGUGCAGGCGAUACGGGCUGACUUGAGUACUGUAGGGGUAACUGGAAUUCCUGGUGUAGCGGUGAAAUGCGCAGAUAUCAGGAGGAACACCGAUGGCGAAGGCAGGUUACUGGGCAGUUACUGACGCUGAGGAGCGAAAGCAUGGGUAGCAAACAGGAUUAGAUACCCUGGUAGUCCAUGCCGUAAACGGUGGGCGCUAGGUGUAGGGACCUUUUGGGGUUUCUGUGCCGUAGCUAACGCAUUAAGCGCCCCGCCUGGGGAGUACGGCCGCAAGGCUA
RNAcentral lists this ribosomal RNA (531 nucleotides) under uncultured bacterium. RNAcentral's name for it is "bacterial SSU rRNA". It matches the Rfam family "Bacterial small subunit ribosomal RNA", at positions 355 to 896 of the family's 1533-position model. The record is from RNAcentral.